Molecule: ribosomal RNA, 746 nt
Filed under: uncultured Parvimonas sp.
Lineage: Bacteria; Bacillati; Bacillota; Tissierellia; Tissierellales; Peptoniphilaceae
Description: bacterial SSU rRNA
Rfam family: Bacterial small subunit ribosomal RNA
Source: RNAcentral
GACUAACGCUGGCGGCGUGCUUAACACAUGCAAGUCGAACGUGAUUUUUGUGGAAAUUCUUUCGGGAAUGGAAAUGAAAUGAAAGUGGCGAACGGGUGAGUAACACGUGAGCAACCUACCUUACACAGGGGGAUAGCCGUUGGAAACGACGAUUAAUACCGCAUGAGACCACAGAAUCGCAUGAUAUAGGGGUCAAAGAUUUAUCGGUGUAAGAAGGGCUCGCGUCUGAUUAGCUAGUUGGAAGGGUAAAGGCCUACCAAGGCGACGAUCAGUAGCCGGUCUGAGAGGAUGAACGGUCACAUUGGAACUGAGACACGGUCCAAACUCCUACGGGAGGCAGCAGUGGGGAAUAUUGCACAAUGGGGGGAACCCUGAUGCAGCGACGCCGCGUGAGCGAAGAAGGUUUUCGAAUCGUAAAGCUCUGUCCUAUGAGAAGAUAAUGACGGUAUCAUAGGAGGAAGCCCCGGCUAAAUACGUGCCAGCAGCCGCGGUAAUACGUAUGGGGCGAGCGUUGUCCGGAAUUAUUGGGCGUAAAGGGUACGUAGGCGGUUUUUUAAGUCAGGUGUGAAAGCGUGAGGCUUAACCUCAUUAAGCACUUGAAACUGGAAGGCUUGAGUGAAGGAGAGGAAAGUGGAAUUCCUAGUGUAGCGGUGAAAUGCGUAGAUAUUAGGAGGAAUACCGGUGGCGAAGGCGACUUUCUGGACUUUUACUGACGCUCAGGUACGAAAGCGUGGGGAGCAAACAGG